GACGAACGCUGGCGGCGUGCCUAACACAUGCAAGUCGAGCGAAGUUAUUCCUUCGGGAAUAACUUAGCGGCGGACGGGUGAGUAACACGUGGGUAACCUGCCUUAUAGAGGGGGAUAGCCUUCCGAAAGGAAGAUUAAUACCGCAUAACAUUGAGCUUUCGCAUGGAAGCUUAAUCAAAGGAGUAAUCCGCUAUAAGAUGGACCCGCGGCGCAUUAGCUAGUUGGUGAGGUAACGGCUCACCAAGGCGACGAUGCGUAGCCGACCUGAGAGGGUGAUCGGCCACAUUGGGACUGAGACACGGCCCAGACUCCUACGGGAGGCAGCAGUGGGGAAUAUUGCACAAUGGGGGAAACCUUGAUGCAGCAACGCCGCGUGAGUGAUGAAGGCCUUCGGGUUGUGAAGCUCUGUCUUUGGGGACGAUAAUGACGGUACCCAAGGAGGAAGCCACGGCUAACUACGUGCCAGCAGCCGCCGUAA
Molecule: ribosomal RNA, 478 nt
Filed under: uncultured bacterium
Lineage: Bacteria
Description: partial 16S ribosomal RNA
Rfam family: Bacterial small subunit ribosomal RNA
Source: RNAcentral